This 481-nucleotide ribosomal RNA is filed under the name uncultured bacterium. Its description in RNAcentral is "bacterial SSU rRNA". It matches the Rfam family "Bacterial small subunit ribosomal RNA", at positions 29 to 510 of the family's 1533-position model. The record is from RNAcentral.
AGCGAACGUUUGCGGCGGGCCUAACACAUGCAAGUCGAACGCACUAGCAAUAGUGAGUGGCGCACGGGUGCGUAACACGUGGGUAAUCAACCCUUCAGCCUGGGAUAACGACUCGAAAGGGUCGCUAAUACCGGAUACGGCGCGAGAGGCUUCGGCUUCUCACGAGAAAGCCACGCAAGGGGCACUGAAGGACGAGCCUGCGGCCCAUCAGCUAGUUGGUGAGGUAAGAGCUCACCAAGGCUAAGACGGGUAGCUGGUCUGAGAGGAUGAUCAGCCACACUGGAACUGAGACACGGUCCAGACUCCUACGGGAGGCAGCAGUGGGGAAUAUUGCGCAAUGGGCGAAAGCCUGACGCAGCCACGCCGCGUGAGCGAUGAAGGCCUUCGGUCGUAAAGCUCUGUGGGAGGAGACGAAGAAAGACCUGUGAAGAGCAGGCCUUGACGGUAGUCUCCUUAGCAAGCACCGGCUAACUCCGUGCCA